RNAcentral lists this ribosomal RNA (515 nucleotides) under uncultured bacterium. RNAcentral's name for it is "partial 16S ribosomal RNA". It matches the Rfam family "Bacterial small subunit ribosomal RNA", at positions 28 to 523 of the family's 1533-position model. The record is from RNAcentral.
GAUGAACGCUGGCGGCGUGCCUAAUACAUGCAAGUCGAGCGAAUGGAUUAAGAGCUUGCUCUUAUGAAGUUAGCGGCGGACGGGUGAGUAACACGUGGGUAACCUGCCCAUAAGACUGGGAUAACUCCGGGAAACCGGGGCUAAUACCGGAUAACAUUUUGAACCGCAUGGUUCGAAAUUGAAAGGCGGCUUCGGCUGUCACUUAUGGAUGGACCCGCGUCGCAUUAGCUAGUUGGUGAGGUAACGGCUCACCAAGGCAACGAUGCGUAGCCGAACUGAGAGGGUGAUAGGCCACACUGGGACUGAGACACGGCCCAGACUCCUACGGGAGGCAGCAGUAGGGAAUCGUCCGCAAUGGACGAAAGUCUGACGGAGCAACGCCGCGUGAGUGAUGAAGGCUUUCGGGUCGUAAAACUCUGUUGUUAGGGAAGAACAAGUGCUAGUUGAAUAAGCUGACACCUUGACGGUACCUAACCAGAAAGCCACGGCUAACUACGUGCCAGCCGCCGCCGUAA